GUGCCUAAUACAUGCAAGUCGAACGCUUUGUGGUUCAACUGAUUUGAAGAGCUUGCUCAGAUAUGACGAUGGACAUUGCAAAGAGUGGCGAACGGGUGAGUAACACGUGGGAAACCUACCUCUUAGCAGGGGAUAACAUUUGGAAACAGAUGCUAAUACCGUAUAACAAUAGCAACCGCAUGGUUGCUACUUAAAAGAUGGUUCUGCUAUCACUAAGAGAUGGUCCCGCGGUGCAUUAGUUAGUUGGUGAGGUAAUGGCUCACCAAGACGAUGAUGCAUAGCCGAGUUGAGAGACUGAUCGGCCACAAUGGGACUGAGACACGGCCCAUACUCCUACGGGAGGCAGCAGUAGGGAAUCUUCCACAAUGGGCGAAAGCCUGAUGGAGCAACGCCGCGUGUGUGAUGAAGGGUUUCGGCUCGUAAAACACUGUUGUAAGAGAAGAAUGACAUUGAGAGUAACUGUUCAAUGUGUGACGGUAUCUUACCAGAAAGGAACGGCUAAAUACGUGCCAGCAGCCGCGGUAAUACGUAUGUUCCAAGCGUUAUCCGGAUUUAUGGGGCGUAAAGCGAGCGCAGACGGUUAUUUAAGUCUGAAGUGAAAGCCCUCAGCUCAACUGAGGAAUUGCUUUGGAAACUGGAUGACUUGAGUGCAGUAUAGGAAAGUGGAACUC
RNAcentral lists this ribosomal RNA (671 nucleotides) under Weissella cibaria. RNAcentral's name for it is "bacterial SSU rRNA". It matches the Rfam family "Bacterial small subunit ribosomal RNA", at positions 44 to 669 of the family's 1533-position model. The record is from RNAcentral. Lineage: Bacteria; Bacillati; Bacillota; Bacilli; Lactobacillales; Lactobacillaceae.